GACGAACGCUGGCGGCGUGCUUAACACAUGCAAGUCGAACGGAAAGGCCCUGCUUGCAGGGUACUCGAGUGGCGAACGGGUGAGUAACACGUGGGUGAUCUGCCCUGCACUUCGGGAUAAGCCUGGGAAACUGGGUCUAAUACCGGAUAGGAGCCAUUUUUAGGGUGAUGGUUGGAAAGUUUUUUCGGUGCAGGAUGAGCUCGCGGCCUAUCAGCUUGUUGGUGGGGUAAUGGCCUACCAAGGCGGCGACGGGUAGCCGGCCUGGGAGGGUGGACGGCCACAUUGGGACUGAGAUACGGCCCAGACUCCUACGGGAGGCAGCAGUGGGGAAUAUUGCACAAUGGGCGCAAGCCUGAUGCAGCGACGCCGCGUGGGGGAUGACGGCCUUCGGGUUGUAAACUCCUUUCGCUAGGGACGAAGCUUUUUGUGACGGUACCUAGAUAAGAAGCACCGGCUAACUACGUG
Molecule: ribosomal RNA, 465 nt
Filed under: uncultured bacterium
Lineage: Bacteria
Description: partial 16S ribosomal RNA
Rfam family: Bacterial small subunit ribosomal RNA
Source: RNAcentral